AGCAGUGUAGCACAGUGCUAAGGUGUAGGGCUUGUAACCUAAAGGUUGCUGGUUCAAUUUCUGUGGUACUGCUG
Molecule: transfer RNA, 74 nt
Filed under: Megalops atlanticus (tarpon)
Lineage: Eukaryota; Metazoa; Chordata; Actinopteri; Elopiformes; Megalopidae
Description: tRNA-OTHER
Source: RNAcentral